Molecule: ribosomal RNA, 253 nt
Filed under: uncultured bacterium
Lineage: Bacteria
Description: partial 16S ribosomal RNA
Rfam family: Bacterial small subunit ribosomal RNA
Source: RNAcentral
UACGAAGGGGGCUAGCGUUGCUCGGAAUCACUGGGCGUAAAGGGUGCGUAGGCGGGUCUUUAAGUCAGGGGUGAAAUCCUGGAGCUCAACUCCAGAACUGCCUUUGAUACUGAAGAUCUUGAGUUCGGGAGAGAUGAGUGGAACUGCGAGUGUAGAGGUGAAAUUCGUAGAUAUUCGCAAGAACACCAGUGGCGAAGGCGGCUCACUGGCCCGAUACUGACGCUGAGGCACGAAAGCGUGGGGAGCAAACAGG